GGGCGAAUGCCAGCGUGUUGCAUUGUGAAUGGCCUAAAAGAACAUGUGAAAAGAAAGAAGAUGGGGGAGAAUCCAAGACAAUAGAUUUGCAACACAACUGAAACAAACUGAAAAAUGAAAACAACCAAAUUUGUUC
This 136-nucleotide small nucleolar RNA is filed under the name Oryza sativa Indica Group (long-grained rice). Its description in RNAcentral is "box C/D snoRNA". Lineage: Eukaryota; Viridiplantae; Streptophyta; Magnoliopsida; Poales; Poaceae. The record is from RNAcentral.